GAUGGACGGUUAACGGAGCGUAAGCGACGUUCAACAUCAAAAAUCAGGCAGUGGAGCGUUUUGGGGUGGGGUGACUGCGUACCUUUUGUAUAAUGGGUCAGCGACUUAUAUUCUGUAGCAAGGUUAACCGUAUAGGGGAGCCGCAGGGAAACCGAGUCUUAACUGGGCGUUAAGUUGCAGGGUAUAGACCCGAAA
Molecule: ribosomal RNA, 195 nt
Filed under: Klebsiella michiganensis
Lineage: Bacteria; Pseudomonadati; Pseudomonadota; Gammaproteobacteria; Enterobacterales; Enterobacteriaceae
Description: partial 23S ribosomal RNA
Rfam family: Bacterial large subunit ribosomal RNA (bases 45-195)
Source: RNAcentral